RNAcentral lists this non-coding RNA (745 nucleotides) under Colasposoma dauricum. Lineage: Eukaryota; Metazoa; Arthropoda; Insecta; Coleoptera; Chrysomelidae. The record is from RNAcentral.
AAAAAGUUUUAUUUUAGCUUAAAAAUUAUGUAUAUAUUAGAUUUACAUGUAAAUUUUUAUAUUUAGAAAAUUUUUUAUUCAGUAAAUAAUUUUGGUAGAUUUUUUUAUAAAAGAAUUGGUUAUAUAUUUUAAUUCUGAUUAAUUUUGUGCCAGCAUUCGCGGUUAUACAAUUAUGGUUAACAUAAUUUUUUUAAUUAUUAUUAAAUGUGUAUAUAAAAUAUAAAUUAUUAAAUAUUAGGUGAAAUUUUAUUUAUUAAAAUAUUUUAUUUUUGAUUAUGAUUAUAAGAAAUUUAUUUUUUAAACAAGGAUUAGAUACCCUUUUAUUUUAAACUUAAAUUUAUUAAUUGAUUAGUAUAAGUUAUGAUCUUUAAAUUUAAUAAUUUUGGCGGUAUUUUAUUCCUAUUAGAGGAAUCUGUUCUGUAAUUGAUAUUCCACGAUAAUUUUAACUUAAAUAUGUUUGUAUAUCGUUGUUGAGAAAGAUUUUGUAAAAAAAAUAAUUUUUAAGAUUUUAAAUUAAAAAAUAAUUCAAAUCAAGGUGCAGCUUUUUUAAGUAGAAAUGGAUUACAUUGAAUUUAUUUAUAGAUUUAUUUAUAUUAUAAUUAAUGAAUUUGGAUUUAAAAGUAAUUUUAAUGUUUUAAUUAAAAUGAUUUAGGCUCUAGAAUAUGCACAUAUCGCCCGUCGCUUUCAUAUUAAUUUGAAAUAAGUCGUAACAUAGUAGAUUUACUGGAAAGUGAAUCUAGAAAGU